Molecule: ribosomal RNA, 758 nt
Filed under: uncultured bacterium
Lineage: Bacteria
Description: bacterial SSU rRNA
Rfam family: Bacterial small subunit ribosomal RNA
Source: RNAcentral
GAUGAACGCUAGCUACAGGCUUAACACAUGCAAGUCGAGGGGCAUCAGGAAGAAAGCUUGCUUUCUUUGCUGGCGACCGGCGCACGGGUGAGUAACACGUAUCCAACCUGCCCUUUACUCGGGGAUAGCCUUUCGAAAGAAAGAUUAAUACCCGAUGGCAUAAUGAUUCCGCAUGGUUUCAUUAUUAAAGGAUUCCGGUAAAGGAUGGGGAUGCGUUCCAUUAGGUUGUUGGUGAGGUAACGGCUCACCAAGCCUUCGAUGGAUAGGGGUUCUGAGAGGAAGGUCCCCCACAUUAGAACUGAGACACGGUCCAAACUCCUACGGGAGGCAGCAGUGAGGAAUAUUGGUCAAUGGGCGCUAGCCUGAACCAGCCAAGUAGCGUGAAGGAUGAAGGCUCUAUGGGUCGUAAACUUCUUUUAUAUAAGAAUAAAGUGCAGUAUGUAUACUGUUUUGUAUGUAUUAUAUGAAUAAGGAUCGGCUAACUCCGUGCCAGCAGCCGCGGUAAUACGGAGGAUCCGAGCGUUAUCCGGAUUUAUUGGGUUUAAAGGGAGCGUAGGUGGACUGGUAAGUCAGUUGUGAAAGUUUGCGGCUCAACCGUAAAAUUGCAGUUGAUACUGUCAGUCUUGAGUACAGUAGAGGUGGGCGGAAUUCGUGGUGUAGCGGUGAAAUGCUUAGAUAUCACGAAGAACUCCGAUUGCGAAGGCAGCUCACUGGACUGCAACUGACACUGAUGCUCGAAAGUGUGGGUAGCAAACAGG